RNAcentral lists this unclassified non-coding RNA (1833 nucleotides) under Hevea brasiliensis (rubber tree). Lineage: Eukaryota; Viridiplantae; Streptophyta; Magnoliopsida; Malpighiales; Euphorbiaceae. The record is from RNAcentral.
GCACUGCGAGCAUUGGCUGACGAACCUGGAAUAGUUGACUUGUUUCUAACUAAUGAGUGGCCUACUGGCGUCACAAACAGAGCUACAUCCGAUAUUCCUGCAGGAAUUUCAGAUUCAGCUGGUAGUGAUUCUACUAUAUCUGAGUUAGUAGCAGAGAUCAAACCACGCUAUCACAUUGCAGGUGCUAAAGGUCUAUUUUAUGCUCGUGAACCUUACUCUAACAUUGAUGCUGUGCAUGUUACCCGCUUCUUUGGUCUUGCAUCAGUUGGAAAUAAGGAUAAACAGAAAUUUAUCCAUGCAAUUUCUCCUACUCCAGGAUCUACAAUGACUGCUGUGGAGAUUAGCAUGAAGCCCUCUAACACUACUUCAUCCCCAUACACCUUUUCAGAGCAAACAGUUCAUCCUAAAGAAACCACCAAGAGGCCUAGUGACAGUGUGUCUGAUUCUCAAUAUUGGAGAUAUGAUGUCUCCCAAAAACGUCAGAAAGCUGGAGCUAGAGAUGGUGAUAAACUGUGUUUUAAAUUUAUUUAUUCUGGUUCUUGUCCACGAGGGGAAAAAUGCCACUUUCAGCAUGACAUGGAUGCAAGGGAACAAUAUUUAAGAGGUGUUUGUAUUGAUUUUCUUAUCAAAGGAAAAUGCGAAAGAGGUCCAGACUGCAACUUUAAGCACGAUUUGCAGAGCAAAGUUGAGAGCUAUUCUCACAGGAGACAUGGCUCUGAAAAUGCUAACAGGUCAAAAGAGUGCUGGUUUUGUUUGUCAAGCCCCAGCGUGGAGUCACAUCUGAUCAUUAGCAUAGGAGAAAGUUACUACUGUGCCCUGGCCAAAGGUCCCCUUGUUCAAGACCAUGUCCUAUUAAUACCCAUUGAGCACUCACCUAGUACCCUUUCUUUACCGCAAGAAUGUGAAUCUGAACUUGUUAGAUUCAAGAAUAAUCUAAAAUUAUAUUUUAAGAACGGGGGAAAGGAAGCUAUCAUAUUUGAGUGGGUUUCCAAGCGUGGUACUCAUGCUAAUCUUCAGGCUGCUCCUGUUCCAUCAUCUAGAGUGGCUGCUGUUCAGGAUAUAUUUAAUAUGGCUGCUGAUAAACUGGGUUUUAAAUUUGUGGCCAUGAAAUUCGAUAAUAGUUCUGAUAGCAGAAAAUGGUUGAGGGCACAGUUUGAUAGGAACUAUAGUUUCUUCUAUGUGGAACUCCCUGAUGGUACUAUUCUAUCACAUUUGAUUGAGGAGAAUGAGAGAUUUCCGGUGCAAUUUGGACGUGAAGUUCUAGCAGGGUUGUUGAACACACCUGAGAGAGCUGAUUGGAGGACUUGUAAGCUUAGCAAAGAGGAGGAAACAAAAAUGGUAGAAGAAUUCCAGAAAAAAUUUGAAGAGUUGGACCCAACUCGAUGAUUUAUAUUUUAUGCAUAGCACCAUCAGUCUUGUGUUUGAUGCCUAGUAGCUACCACCAUUAUGCUCUUCAUCAUUGAUUUUACUCACAUAAGUACGGGGGGACACUUCAUUAUCCCCUAGCAGAUGAACACCCGGUUUAUCUCAUUUCUUGAACUGGCAGAAUUAGAAGUAAUCUGCUGCAGAUUAACCUCCUCUAGUUUUUGAUUUAUUACAAUCCAAGCUAGAGAUGAGACCCUGACCCAUCCAGGUAUAAGGAAAGCUAGUUCUUUCCCUUGUUUUGCCUCUCAUCUUUCUGAAUUUGGCUUUCAGAUGUAUUUCAUUAUAAUGGAAUUGCAAUUACAUAUUUUAUUAGCUUAUUUCGUUGCAUAAGUUUUUGACAUAAUGUAAUAUUACAUUAUACAAUCAAUUGCGCUUUAAUUAACGUAAGUUUAUAUGAUUAGUCUUUUU